Long non-coding RNA from Cyprinodon tularosa, 421 nucleotides. RefSeq lists it as uncharacterized. The transcript is spliced from 3 exons. The record is from RefSeq and is a predicted model, not a curated record. Lineage: Eukaryota; Metazoa; Chordata; Actinopteri; Cyprinodontiformes; Cyprinodontidae.
AUGUUACAGGUGGUAUGGUGGGCGUGGUCCAAGCAGUAUAAAAGCGGAAGCUGCAAACUUUCUUAAAAGGUGUCAGUUUCCAUGGGACGCCAGGACGUAUCUGGAUUCAACACGUUGUAGAUUUGUCAAGAAUGUGGGAGGCCCUGCAGGUUUUUUAGACCAGGCUGUGUAUACAGGCAGAUGAGGGUGGUGUACGCGAUACAGAGAUGUUUUUUGUUGCUCCUGCUGUCCUUAGGUUUAUGUUUUGUUUCUUUUAGUUAGUCCGACCCUGUUUGAUGUCUUUGGUCCUGUUGUUUACUUGUGAGGGCGGACUAACUGUUUUGUUUUUUUAUCUUUUUUUCAUUGAACUGUUUGUUUUCUCCUUGUUCACUCUCCCACGAGGCUGUGAGCUGGUAGACAAUGUUAUAUUGCAUCUGAUUGU